This 681-nucleotide ribosomal RNA is filed under the name uncultured bacterium. RNAcentral's name for it is "bacterial SSU rRNA". It matches the Rfam family "Bacterial small subunit ribosomal RNA", at positions 24 to 699 of the family's 1533-position model. The record is from RNAcentral.
UCAAGACGAACGCUGGCGGCGUGCCUAACACAUGCAAGUCGAACGGAGAUAUUCGCUGAUGAAGUACUUCGGUAAUGAUUCUUGAAUAUCUUAGUGGCGGACGGGUGAGUAACGCGUGAGCAACCUGCCUUUCAGAGGGGGAUAACGUUCGGAAACGAACGCUAAUACCGCAUGAUAUUGUUGAGUCGCAUGACUUAAUAAUCAAAGGAGCAAUCCGCUGAAAGAUGGGCUCGCGUCCGAUUAGUAGUUGGUGGGGCAACGGCCCACCAAGCCGACGAUCGGUAGCCGGACUGAGAGGUUGAACGGCCACAUUGGGACUGAGACACGGCCCAGACUCCUACGGGAGGCAGCAGUGAGGGAUAUUGGUCAAUGGGGGAAACCCUGAACCAGCAACGCCGCGUGAGGGAAGACGGUUUUCGGAUUGUAAACCUCUGUCCUCUGUGAAGAUAAUGACGGUAGCAGAGGAGGAAGCUCCGGCUAACUACGUGCCAGCAGCCGCGGUAAUACGUAAGGAGCAAGCGUUGUCCGGAUUUACUGGGUGUAAAGGGUGCGUAAGCGGCUUUGCAAGUCAGAAGUGAAAUCCAUGGGCUUAACCCAUGAACUGCUUUUGAAACUGCAGAGCUUGAGUGGAGUANAGGUAGGCGGAAUUUCCCGGUGUANCGGUGAAAUGCGUANAGAUCG